This 45-nucleotide transfer RNA is filed under the name Gallus gallus murghi. RNAcentral describes it as "partial tRNA-Glu". The record is from RNAcentral. Lineage: Eukaryota; Metazoa; Chordata; Aves; Galliformes; Phasianidae.
AGGACUACGGCUUGAAAAGCCAUUGUUGUUCUCAACUACGGGAAC